This 48-nucleotide transfer RNA is filed under the name Anisakis simplex (herring worm). It matches the Rfam family "tRNA", at positions 24 to 71 of the family's 71-position model. Rfam says of the family: Transfer RNA (tRNA) molecules are approximately 80 nucleotides in length. Lineage: Eukaryota; Metazoa; Nematoda; Chromadorea; Rhabditida; Anisakidae. The record is from Rfam by way of RNAcentral.
CUCAGGACUUUGAAUCCUGCGACCCGAGUUCAAAUCUCGGUGGGACCU